AUUGAACGCUGGCGGCAGGCUUAACACAUGCAAGUCGAGCGGGGUGAUGGUGCUUGCACUAUCACUUAGCGGCGGACGGGUGAGUAAUGCUUAGGAAUCUGCCUAUUAGUGGGGGACAACAUCUCGAAAGGGAUGCUAAUACCGCAUACGUCCUACGGGAGAAAGCAGGGGAUCACUUGUGACCUUGCGCUAAUAGAUGAGCCUAAGUCGGAUUAGCUAGUUGGUGGGGUAAAGGCCUACCAAGGCGACGAUCUGUAGCGGGUCUGAGAGGAUUAUCCGCCACACUGGGACUGAGACACGGCCCAGACUCCUACGGGAGGCAGCAGUGGGGAAUAUUGGACAAUGGGGGGGACCCUGAUCCAGCCAUGCCGCGUGUGUGAAGAAGGCCUUAUGGUUGUAAAGCACUUUAAGCGAGGAGGAGGCUCUUUUGGUUAAUACCCAAGAUGAGUGGACGUUACUCGCAGAAUAAGCACCGGCUAACUCUGUGCCAGCCGCCGCAGUAA
RNAcentral lists this ribosomal RNA (503 nucleotides) under uncultured bacterium. RNAcentral's name for it is "partial 16S ribosomal RNA". It matches the Rfam family "Bacterial small subunit ribosomal RNA", at positions 30 to 523 of the family's 1533-position model. The record is from RNAcentral.